RNAcentral lists this ribosomal RNA (263 nucleotides) under uncultured bacterium. Its description in RNAcentral is "partial 16S ribosomal RNA". It matches the Rfam family "Bacterial small subunit ribosomal RNA", at positions 524 to 786 of the family's 1533-position model. The record is from RNAcentral.
UACGUAGGGAGCAAGCGUUGUCCGGAAUUACUGGGCGUAAAGGGCGCGUAGGCGGGAUGAUAAGUUAGGUGUGAAAACUUAGGGCUUAACCUUAGGACUGCACUUAAAACUAUCAUUCUUGAGGACAGGAGAGGAAAGUGGAAUUCCUAGUGUAGCGGUGAAAUGCGUAGAUAUUAGGAGGAACACCAGUGGCGAAGGCGACUUUCUGGACUGUAACUGACGCUGAGGCGCGAAAGCGUGGGGAGUGAACGGGAUUAGAUACC